RNAcentral lists this long non-coding RNA (408 nucleotides) under Parus major (Great Tit). RNAcentral's name for it is "lncRNA (ENSPMJG00000002790.1)". Lineage: Eukaryota; Metazoa; Chordata; Aves; Passeriformes; Paridae. The record is from RNAcentral.
AUGAAAAAAAGAAUGAGAAACCUACAUACCAACCAUGUCAGUGCGCUUCUCAGCUUCUUUGUGGUGCCUUCAUCCAGAGAGAAAUGCACAGGACCAAGGGCAGCAGCACAUCACAGAGACUUACAUGGUGACUCCCACCACCACCACUUGCAGUAUGCCAGAGGACCCUCUGAAACCUUGAGGUUCUGCACCAGUUAAAAUUACCAUUAUACUCUCAGAGGUUCAUUCAUGGUCAGAGGAUUGGAGUAUAGAUUUCUCAACUGGGAAAUAGUUCAGUGUGCUGUGAAAUUGGCUUUACCAUGAGACAACAGGGAAUCCAAAGCAGUUGCCCAUCCAGAGAGGUUAGUGGCCACUUUCUCAUUACCUAAAAACUUAAUAAAACUUUUGAAACAUAUUUUAAUGUGAACA